GUAGGUGGCAAGCGUUGUCCGGAAUUAUUGGGCGUAAAGCGCGCGCAGGUGGGUUCUUUAAGUCUGAUGUGAAAGCCCCCGGGCUCAACCGGGGAGGGCCAUUGGAAACUGGGGAACUUGAGUGCAGGAGAGGAAAGUGGAAUUCCACGUGUAGCGGUGAAAUGCGUAGAUAUGUGGAGGAACACCAGUGGCGAAGGCGACUUUCUGGCCUGUAACUGACACUGUGGCGCGAAAGCGUGGGGAGCAAACAGGAUUAGAUACCCUGGUAGUCCACGCCGUAAACGAUGAGUGCUAAGUGUUGGGGGGUUUCCGCCCCUCAGUGCUGCAGCUAACGCAUUAAGCACUCCGCCUGGGGAGUACGGUCGCAAGACUG
RNAcentral lists this ribosomal RNA (373 nucleotides) under uncultured organism. Its description in RNAcentral is "partial 16S ribosomal RNA". It matches the Rfam family "Bacterial small subunit ribosomal RNA", at positions 527 to 896 of the family's 1533-position model. The record is from RNAcentral.